CACGUAGGGGGCAAGCGUUGUCCGGAUUUAUUGGGCGUAAAGAGCUCGUAGGCGGCUCAGUAAGUCGGGUGUGAAACCUCCAGGCUCAACCUGGAGACGCCACCCGAUACUGCUGUGGCUUGAGUCCGGUAGGGGAGCGUGGAAUUCCUGGUGUAGCGGUGGAAUGCGCAGAUAUCAGGAGGAACACCGGUGGCGAAGGCGGGAUCCUGGGCCAGUACUGACGCUGAGGAGCGAAAGCGUGGGGAGCAAACAGG
Molecule: ribosomal RNA, 254 nt
Filed under: uncultured bacterium
Lineage: Bacteria
Description: partial 16S ribosomal RNA
Rfam family: Bacterial small subunit ribosomal RNA
Source: RNAcentral